RNAcentral lists this ribosomal RNA (616 nucleotides) under uncultured Legionella sp. RNAcentral's name for it is "bacterial SSU rRNA". It matches the Rfam family "Bacterial small subunit ribosomal RNA", at positions 242 to 849 of the family's 1533-position model. Lineage: Bacteria; Pseudomonadati; Pseudomonadota; Gammaproteobacteria; Legionellales; Legionellaceae. The record is from RNAcentral.
UAGCUAGUUGGUGGGGUAAGGGCCUACCAAGGCGACGAUCGGUAGCUGGUCUGAGAGGAUGACCAGCCACACUGGAACUGAGACACGGUCCAGACUCCUACGGGAGGCAGCAGUGGGGAAUAUUGGACAAUGGGGGGAACCCUGAUCCAGCAAUGCCGCGUGUGUGAAGAAGGCCUGAGGGUUGUAAAGCACUUUCAGUGGGGAGGAGGGUUGAUAGGUUAAGAGCUAAUUAACUGGACGUUACCCACAGAAGAAGCACCGGCUAACUCCGUGCCAGCGGCCGCGGUAAUACGGAGGGUGCGAGCGUUAAUCGGAAUUACUGGGCGUAAAGCGUGCGUAGGUGGCUGAUUAAGUUAUCUGUGAAAUCCCUGGGCUUAACCUGGGCAGGUCAGAUGAUACUGGUUGACUCGAGUAUGGGAGAGGGUAGUGGAAUUUCCGGUGUAGCGGUGAAAUGCGUAGAGAUCGGAAGGAACACCAGUGGCGAAGGCGGCUACCUGGCCUAAUACUGACACUGAGGCACGAAAGCGUGGGGAGCAAACAGGAUUAGAUACCCUGGUAGUCCACGCUGUAAACGAUGUCAACUAGCUGUUGGUUAUAUGAAAAUAAUUAGUGGCGC